CAGUCGCCGCGGUAAAACGUAGGGGGCAAGCGUUGUCCGGAAUCAUUGGGCGUAAAGCGCGUGUAGGCGGCUUGAUAAGUCCGUUCUGAAAGCCCAGGGCUCAACCCUGGGAGGCGGAUGGAUACUGUCAAGCUCGAGUCCGGAAGAGGCGAGUGGAAUUCCCGGUGUAGCGGUGAAAUGCGCAGAUAUCGGGAGGAACACCAAUGGCGAAGGCAGCUCGCUGGGACGUGACUGACGCUGAGACGCGAAAGCGUGGGGAGCAAACAGGAUUAGAUACCCCCGUAGUCCUUGUCUCUUAUAC
RNAcentral lists this ribosomal RNA (301 nucleotides) under uncultured bacterium. RNAcentral describes it as "partial 16S ribosomal RNA". It matches the Rfam family "Bacterial small subunit ribosomal RNA", at positions 509 to 807 of the family's 1533-position model. The record is from RNAcentral.